CUCUAAAUACACACAAGACUGAGAGAUAAGGAGUAGAAAAAUGCCUGUUUUGCAAAGAAGAAGGAAAAGUUUCAAGGAUUGUAUAAUUUUAAUGCAGAGAUACAUUUUGGAAAAAAAAAUCUAUCGUGGUAACACAUGGCUACUUUAAACCAUAUGACGUGUUUUCUCUGAGACCUUAUUUGCAUAUUUAAUGGUACAUGAAUGUUAAAAUACACAUUAAACAGGCAUUGUAUGUGUAUCAUACUGUAGGUAUAUAUGACCAGUACUACUUUCUGAUCCUAGAAUAUAUAAUUGUAUUUAAAUAAAAAAACAUAAAGUAUUUGCUUUCCAUAAUCCAACCUGUUUGCCAUUAAUAAGAUUCUGAGGCAUUACACCUCUAUCUUUUGAGGAGAUCAGAUCAUAUCUGUUAAAUGCCAGGUGAUACAAUUAUGAAGUAACGGUUUAUUCUUACUCGUAGCUACUUGGACUCUCAGGAUAGAUACUAAUUUUUUGUUGUUACUUACUUUCCACAAAGAAAGGGCAAACUACAUAUAACCAUAAUACCUUCCUCCCCCUUCUCCACCUCUCAGUGCAUCUGGUUAAACUUUGGACAAGGUGGAGGAAGGGGAAUGGAAAGGCACAGAACAAGCGGUCAGUUUUCUCACAGUAGCAUAAUGCUGCUGUUUCUUUUACCAGGUUAAAGAUGCCUAAAGAGUAAAUGAGUUUCUUCUUCGUUCAGUGAUUACCCUGUAAAUACUACACAGGAUUAAAUUGCGUCCAGUCACCUGUACAACUAAAAUUAGCUUUUGAAAGGCCAAGAGCUGCUGCAGAGAUAACAAGGACUGAAGAAUUUACAGCAGCUGGUACCAACUGUGCAAGUACAACUCCCAGCCAAAAUAAUGUGACACCCAGCUGCGUGGAAGCCUGGGGAAUCAGCAAGUGACUCAGGAGGAAGUGAGAAUGGAGAAUCUGGCUGCAGCACCAAGCCCACUCCAGAAGUGUGUUAUUAUUCCCUCUCAUUCAGUGGGAUAGCCCCCCAGGGAAUGCCAUGUUAAAAUUAAAAAAGACUUCUGAUAUAAAAAUCUUUUUUCACCUGAGACAAAAUUUGUUUGUCCUCAUGUAUGCUGGUGCCAUCAUUAUUAAUUUUUGGUUACAGAUCAGUAUUUGCUUCUCUUAAGUAAAUAAUAUUCUGUUCCAAUAGAGAUUGCUGAGCCAAAAUAAAAUUCAUAUGAAUGUAAA
This is a non-coding RNA of Anas platyrhynchos (mallard), 1218 nucleotides long. The record is from RefSeq and is a predicted model, not a curated record. NCBI's taxonomy places the organism in Eukaryota, Metazoa, Chordata, Aves, Anseriformes, Anatidae.